UGUAGAUAUAAUUAUUAUUUAUUUUUAUUUAUUUCAUAUAUAUAAUGUAAUGUACCAUAAUGUGGAGCAUAAUCUAAAUAUAAUGUUUUUUGUAUAACAUUGUUCUUUCAACAGAUUCAUGUUGAAAGAUUUGAAUUGUUGGAUAGAGUCAAGAAGGUCAAGACCUCAAAGGAAAGACCAAAAGCUAAAAUAAAUAUUUAAUUCAUUGAAAGGUUCUUUUUCAUGCUGUUAACCUUACGUUAGCUCAUAGUUUAUCUAACACGAGAUUUAUGCAUCGGGACACCAAACUGUAGCAUGUGAACAUAGAGUGUCAUGUGUGUUUUGUGAGGUUAGAGACACAUUAAAAAUGGAUAUAUGUGAGUGGUUUCAGGCUUUGUUUGAAGGCACUAAUAGAGCAAGCCUGGAAGGCAGCACGUGUGCGCUUUCGCCUCAUCACAAUGAAACAGACCUAACUUCUGUGCGUAGAAAACUAGAGCGUGACUGCCACAUUUGAAUAUGAAAUAGCCAAAGAUUUCUGUUUCAGACACCUUGUACAUUGUGCAAACAAAGCCACCAAUUCCGGGGAAGAAAGACAAGUGAAUUUAAAGCAGGCCUUUGUCGUUGUUUAUAACUGUGUUGUCUUUGUUCCCAUUUUUCCUCUGCAGGCAAAAGAAUGGGCUGAAAUAUUUUUAAACAGUAAUUACCUGGCCGGGAUCCGACAGAGGGGGAUUAAUGGAGGAACGCGGAGCAUCAGGUUCCAGAGAUGUGUGCUGGAAGCACAAGUCAUCAGCUCACGCCAAGCCCUUCACAAACUAACAGGAGCUAUUUAGUCUUUUAAAUCAAGUCUGGGAGAUGUUUCAGGAUUUGCCUUUUUCUUCGUUUAACCCUUUGUUUUUUUUUUGUUUUUGUCGUGGUUAAAGUAACUGUAUUUGGUGCUAGUUAACUCUCAUAGUACAUUUUUAUAAACCAGACAUCUGGACUUUAUUUUUCUUGGAGUGAUGAUCUACAGUACAUUGACUUUCACUAGUUAGUUGCAAAAGGCAAGCAGCUACUUAUGAGGUCUUGCUCAGGUUGACUGAAUAUUAUGGAAGACCAUUUCCAACACUGAAUAAAAAAAUUAUGAUUGAAACUUUUUAUCUCAUAAUUGUGACUUUUUUCUCAUAACUGCCAGUUUACAUCUUGCAAUUCUGACUUUUUUCUCAGACGUGUGAGAUAUACUGUAAACUCACAGUUAUGAGUUAUAAAGUCCAAUUCUGAGGGGGGAAAAGGCAAUUCUUACAAUUGCGAGUUUACAUCAUACAACUGUGCUAUAAACUAUAUAAUAUAAACUUGCAAUUCUGAGAAAAAAGACAAUUGCAAGAUAUAAACUCACAAUUCUAUGAAGAAAAGUCACUUUGUAACUCACAAUUGCAAGUUUCUAUCAUUCUGCCAAUUCUGAGAGAGAAGUCAGAAUUGUGAGGAAAAGUCAGAAUUGCAAGAAAAAAAGUCAGAAUUGUGAGAGAAAUGUUGCAAUUGCCUUUUUUAAAUUCAUACAUCAUUUUAUUUUAACCUAUAAACAACAUUUUGGUCCUUCCUCAGGCAUGCAUUAGAUUUUUACCCAAUGCAACUUUGACUCGAAUGUCCUGUAAGUUUAUGGACUUCAUCACAUCUUUGAAAAUUAAUUUAGACUUAAGGUGGAUUCAGAUCUUAUUUUGGUCCAUUUUAUUUGUGAUUGGAUUAACUCUCCAUUCUCAAUAUGUAUAUGAGUUUAGUUUACUUUCGAAAAUAUAGUGCACAAGUACCUAAAUCAUAUGUAGAUACAUUGGAUAAAAGUCAGGUGUAAGCCUGAAGUUGAUUGAAAUGCUUUAAAAAUAUGCAUAUUUAAGUAGAGUGCAGGAUUAUACAUUUUCAUGAGUUUAGUUUAAAAGGGUCUGACUUCAUUUAAAGCAUUCACAUUAGUAAACAUUUUUGUUUUCACCCGCACAAAUAUACAUAAAAACAAGACCUCAAAAGUAGCUUUUUUGUAACCUUUUGGAACUAACUUGUAAAAGUCAAAAUAGAUCACUGAUCAUGAGAAAGUUGAACAGGAACCAAAGGUAACAAUAAGUAAUGGGAAGUGAAGUGAAAUGUAUUAUUUCUACAACACCAAAUGGGAUUUUAUGAUUGUUUGCUGACAGGUUUCCUCCUCCAACCACUGCUCACCUUACACUGUUCAGAAGAAAACAGACACGAGUCUAUACAGUAAAAAAAAACAGUAACACUCUUAUAAAUAAAGGUGCUUCAAAAGGUUCUUCACAGCGAUGCCAUAGAAGAACCAUUUUUGGUUCCACAAAGAACCAUUCAAUCAAAGGUUCUUUAAAGUACCAUCUCUUUCUUGCUUUUUAUAAUCUGAAGAAGCUUCUUUCACCAUAAAGAACCUUUUGUGCAAUAGAAAAGUUUUUUAGAUGUUAAAGCUUCUUUAUGGAACCAUUUAAACAACAACAAAAAAAAAAUGGCAUGGUGAAGCACUUUUAUUUUUUAAGAGUGUACUUGAUAAUGGUAGUAUUUGUAUGGUCAAAAUCAGCAAAACCUCAUAAGAAUCGUUUUACAGUCUUUUGCAACUAACUUGUAAAAGUCAAUGUAUUAUCACUCCAAGAAAAAGUAAAGUCCUUUAAAUUGCAUAUCAGUCACACAGUAUAGUGAUUUGGUUGGUGGCACGUAUGCUUUACGAUAUUGAUUGCAGCAAAACUGUUUUGUGUUUGAGUACAAAAAGCAUAUUGAUCACUGGCACUGUAGGCUUUUUGUGCAGAAAUUACAGAGAAACCCAACAAAAAGUGCCAUGAUUUCAUCGUCACGUUCAUCUCUCAUUGCCUUUGUGUAAAACUUUUUCAACGCUUCAAGCUCCAGUCUAUCGGCUAGCUUUUAUUUGCGAGAUGAACUCAAAUUGAGACUUGAAUCGCAGCAAGGCACAUCAAAACAUGCUUUUCACUAAUACAGAGGUCUGUAGUUAAUUGAGAGCGCUUCAUAAAUGUGUCUGAUUUAUAAUAGGACAUAAAGUGAUUCCUUCCAUAAACCACCAGUGCAAUCUACAGUCUAAUUACAACAGCACCAUAAAUCACGAAUAAAUCUGAGGAAAACACAAUAUAAACAGGCAAAACUUUGCUGGAAAGUAAACAGUGUUAAAACUAUGAAAAGCAGCGGAACGGAGUCAUAAAUGCACAUUUAAAGGCUGAUAUUAUGAAGAUCAUAGAAAAUUACAGCGGUCUAUAGAUAGUAAGCAAUCCAUUAUUGGUCUAUAAUGGGCAAGAAGCUGUGUUAUGAUCUCUAAAGUUUAUCAGUCUAGUGGCCUUCGCUUGCUGAAGAUGUCAUGUGACUCAAUAUCAGUGAGAAAGUUGAACAGGAAUCAUAAGAUGACAAAUGAGUAAAUUUAA
Long non-coding RNA from Cyprinus carpio carpio, 3368 nucleotides. The record is from Ensembl. NCBI's taxonomy places the organism in Eukaryota, Metazoa, Chordata, Actinopteri, Cypriniformes, Cyprinidae.